GUGGAUAUUCCUUCUAUGGUUACGUGCUUCCUGGAUAAUCAUAGAGGAACAUCCACUU
RNAcentral lists this microRNA precursor (58 nucleotides) under Mus musculus (house mouse). RNAcentral describes it as "Mmu-Mir-376-P4_pre stem-loop". Lineage: Eukaryota; Metazoa; Chordata; Mammalia; Rodentia; Muridae. RNAcentral also lists the same sequence under 1 other name. The record is from RNAcentral.